RNAcentral lists this ribosomal RNA (154 nucleotides) under uncultured eukaryote. Its description in RNAcentral is "partial 18S ribosomal RNA". It matches the Rfam family "Eukaryotic small subunit ribosomal RNA", at positions 1299 to 1458 of the family's 1831-position model. The record is from RNAcentral.
UGGUGGAUUGAUUUGUCUGGUUAAUUCCGAAAACGAACGAGAUCUUAACCAUUAAAUAGUGACGUUAAUAUGGUCGAAAGGUCAAAUAUUUGACAUUGAAACUUCUUAGAGGGACUAUUUGCAUUUUAGUGAAUGGAAGUUUGAGGCAAAAACA